This 275-nucleotide ribosomal RNA is filed under the name uncultured bacterium. RNAcentral's name for it is "partial 16S ribosomal RNA". It matches the Rfam family "Bacterial small subunit ribosomal RNA", at positions 399 to 691 of the family's 1533-position model. The record is from RNAcentral.
GCGUGAGUGAAGAAGGCCCUAGGGUUGUAAAGCUCUUUCGGCGGGGAAGAUGAUGACGGUACCCGCAGAAGAAGCCCCGGCUAACUCCGUGCCAGCAGCCGCGGUAAUACGGAGGGGGCUAGCGUUGUUCGGAAUUACUGGGCGUAAAGGGCGUGUAGGCGGAUCGGCUAGUCAGGCGUGAAAGCCCCGGGCUCAACCUGGGAAUAGCGCUUGAUACUACCGAUCUUGAGUCCGGGAGAGGGUAGUGGAAUUCCCAGUGUAGAGGUGAAAUUCGU